Molecule: ribosomal RNA, 112 nt
Filed under: Caerostris darwini
Lineage: Eukaryota; Metazoa; Arthropoda; Arachnida; Araneae; Araneidae
Source: RNAcentral
AACGGCCAUACCAUGCUGAAUAUACCGGUUCUCGUUCGAUCACCGAAGUUAAGCAUCAUCGGGCGUGGUCAGUACUUGGGUGGGUGACCACCUGGAAACACUGAGUGCCGUU